AGAGUUUGAUCCUGGCUCAGAUUGAACGCUGGCGGAAUGCUUUACACAUGCAAGUCGAACGGACUUAAAGAGCUUGCUCUUUAAGUUAGUGGCGAACGGGUGAGUAAUAUAUCGGAACGUAUCCAAUAAUGGGGGAUAACUAAUCGAAAGGUUGGCUAAUACCGCAUACGCCCUACGGGGGAAAGCUAGGGACCUUCGGGCCUGGCGUUAAUGGAGCGGCCGAUAUCUGAUUAGCUAGUUGGUGGGGUAAAGGCCCACCAAGGCUUCGAUCAGUAGCUGGUCUGAGAGGACGACCAGCCACACUGGAACUGAGACACGGUCCAGACUCCUACGGGAGGCAGCAGUGGGGAAUUUUGGACAAUGGGCGAAAGCCUGAUCCAGCCAUUCCGCGUGAGUGAAGAAGGCCUUCGGGUUGUAAAGCUCUUUCGCAAGGGAAGAACACUUAAUCUCUAACAUAGAUUGAGGUUGACGGUACCUUGAUAAGAAGCACCGGCUAACUACGUGCCAGCAGCCGCGGUAAUACGUAGGGUGCGAGCGUUAAUCGGAAUUACUGGGCGUAAAGCGUGCGCAGGCUGUUUUGUAAGUCAGAUGUGAAAUCCCUGAGCUCAACUUAGGAACUGCGUUUGAAACUACAAGACUAGAAUAUGUCAGAGGGGGGUAGAAUUCCACGUGUAGCAGUGAAAUGCGUAGAGAUGUGGAGGAAUACCAAUGGCGAAGGCAGCCCCCUGGGAUAAUAUUGACGCUCAUGCACGAAAGCGUGGGGAGCAAACAGGAUUAGAUACCCUGGUAGUCC
This 793-nucleotide ribosomal RNA is filed under the name uncultured bacterium. Its description in RNAcentral is "bacterial SSU rRNA". It matches the Rfam family "Bacterial small subunit ribosomal RNA", at positions 8 to 796 of the family's 1533-position model. The record is from RNAcentral.